GUUUGAUCCUGGCCUCAGAUUGAACGCUGGCGGCAUGCCUUACACAUGCAAGUCGAACGGUAACAGGUUAAGCUGACGAGUGGCGAACGGGUGAGUAAUGUAUCGGAACGUGCCCAGUCGUGGGGGAUAACUGCUCGAAAGAGCAGCUAAUACCGCAUACGACCUGAGGGUGAAAGCGGGGGAUCGCAAGACCUCGCGCGAUUGGAGCGGCCGAUAUCAGAUUAGGUAGUUGGUGAGGUAAAGGCUCACCAAGCCGACGAUCUGUAGCUGGUCUGAGAGGACGACCAGCCACACUGGGACUGAGACACGGCCCAGACUCCUACGGGAGGCAGCAGUGGGGAAUUUUGGACAAUGGGCGCAAGCCUGAUCCAGCCAUGCCGCGUGCGGGAAGAAGGCCUUCGGGUUGUAAACCGCUUUUGUCAGGGAAGAAAAGGUUCUGGCUAAUACCUGGGACUCAUGACGGUACCUGAAGAAUAAGCACCGGCUAACUACGUGCCAGCAGCCGCGGUAAUACGUAGGGUGCAAGCGUUAAUCGGAAUUACUGGGCGUAAAGCGUGCGCAGGCGGUUAUGCAAGACAGAGGUGAAAUCCCCGGGCUCAACCUGGGAACUGCCUUUGUGACUGCAUGGCUAGAGUACGGUAGAGGGGGAUGGAAUUCCGCGUGUAGCAGUGAAAUGCGUAGAUAUGCGGAGGACACCGAUGGCGAAGGCAAUCUCCUUGGACCUGUACUGACGCUCAUGCACGAAAGCGUGGGGAGCAAACAGGAUUAGAUACCUGUAGUCCACGCCCUAAACGAUGUCAACUGGUUGUUGGGAGGCUUUCUUCUCAGUAACGUAGCUAACGCCGGUGAAGUUGACCGGCUGGGGAGUACGUCCGCAAGGUUGAACUUCAAAAGGAUGGACGGUAUCCGCACAAGCGGUGGGAUGUAGGGUUAAUUCGAAUGCAACGCCGAAAAGCCUACCUUACCUUGACAUGUCUGGAAUCUGAAAGAGUCGGUAGGGCUCGACGAAAUCGGAAAACAGGGCUGCAUGGCCGUCUCAGUCGGGUCCUGGAAGGGUUGCUUAGUUUUCGAACAAGCUAUCCUUGCCCUAUUGGUUAGGCACUAGUACUGCGGGUGCACAACUGGUAGAAGCUG
This 1134-nucleotide ribosomal RNA is filed under the name uncultured bacterium. RNAcentral describes it as "bacterial SSU rRNA". It matches the Rfam family "Bacterial small subunit ribosomal RNA", at positions 11 to 1175 of the family's 1533-position model. The record is from RNAcentral.